UCUCCACAUUUACGUGGUAGGAUACGCAACCCUAUGGAUACGGCCCUCAUGGAGGAGGAGACAUGCUUUCUCUAAAGUGGGGACAACCGUGCUCAUGUCUUGCCUCUACCUAGCCACAAUAAGUGGUAGGAUACGCAACCUAUGGGGCGAUCCCCAUGUAGGACAAGGCAUGCUCUGUCUGAAAUGGCGAUUACCGUGUUCAUGUCUUGCUCGAUCUCUCCACAGUUAAUUUCUGUUGUAGGAUAAGCAACCCUAUGGAUACGGCCCUCAUGGAUGAUGAGACAUUCACAAUGCUCUCUCCGAAAUGGCGAUAACCGGGUACAUGUCUUGCCUCUACCUCUCCACAUUUACGUGGUAGGAUAUGCAACCCUAUGAUCCGGCCCUCAUGGAGGAUGAGACAUGCCCKCUCAAAAGCGACAACUGGUCUCGGCUGUUGCGUUUGUCUUUCCACGCAAGUGGAAUUGCAGGGUAACUACCGACGCUGGGACGUCAUCGA
RNAcentral lists this unclassified non-coding RNA (496 nucleotides) under Bromus sterilis. RNAcentral's name for it is "partial external transcribed spacer". Lineage: Eukaryota; Viridiplantae; Streptophyta; Magnoliopsida; Poales; Poaceae. The record is from RNAcentral.